This 253-nucleotide ribosomal RNA is filed under the name uncultured bacterium. RNAcentral's name for it is "partial 16S ribosomal RNA". It matches the Rfam family "Bacterial small subunit ribosomal RNA", at positions 524 to 776 of the family's 1533-position model. The record is from RNAcentral.
UACGUAGGGUGCGAGCGUUGUCCGGAAUUAUUGGGCGUAAAGGGCUCGUAGGCGGUUUGUCGCGUCGGGAGUGAAAACCAGGUGCUUAACACCUGGCUUGCUUUCGAUACGGGCAGACUAGAGGUAUGCAGGGGAGAACGGAAUUCCUGGUGUAGCGGUGAAAUGCGCAGAUAUCAGGAGGAACACCGGUGGCGAAGGCGGUUCUCUGGGAAUAUCCUGACGCUGAGGAGCGAAAGUGUGGGGAGCGAACAGG